Molecule: ribosomal RNA, 285 nt
Filed under: Triticum aestivum (bread wheat)
Lineage: Eukaryota; Viridiplantae; Streptophyta; Magnoliopsida; Poales; Poaceae
Description: partial small subunit ribosomal RNA
Source: RNAcentral
AUGGAAGUCGUGGAGGGCUGUGACGAGCAAGACGAGAAGACGGUGCAUAGAAUAUGCGAGGUGGCGUUCUGGUGCGUGCAGCAGCAGCCGGAGGCGAGGCCACCGAUGGGUGUGGUGGUGAAGAUGCUUGAGGGCGAGAAGGACAUUGCUCCGCCGGCGAACCCGUUCCAGCAUCUCAUGGCAGCGCAGGCGGCGGCAAAUCGGUGGACCACGGUGACGAGCUCCGUGAACACGGCGUCGACUCCCGCAAAUGGUGUUUCUCGUGGUAGCAACGAGAUUGUUUAA